Molecule: long non-coding RNA, 8817 nt
Organism: Bombus pyrosoma
Lineage: Eukaryota; Metazoa; Arthropoda; Insecta; Hymenoptera; Apidae
Exons: 2
Source: RefSeq, a predicted model, not a curated record
GAGCUCUGUCGGUAAUAAAAUUAAAAAAUAAAACAGACAUUUCGUUACAACUUAAUUCUAUAUUAUAACAGCCACGCAUACUCUGUGUUUGGCAAGUAUACUCAUCAUUGCUUAAUUUUUGCGACAUAUUUUAGGUACACACUUUUCAAAGUUUUUAAAGAGAUCGCAAUAGCCAACUGGUUAAAAAGAUGACGCCACUUGCGAUCAAUGUGACGCGAUACUACGACAAAUCAGUGUCAUCAAUCCACCACGUAUUUAAGUAACUUUCGUAAUGACCAAAAUUAGCAUCGUUGUUGGCUAAAUAAAUCUACGGUCCUGUGAAAAAAAAAAUUUCAACGGAUACCUCGAUAUUUUUCCAAACUGGACACGACGAGUUUUCAUACUAUAUGUUGCAUAUCUACGUCUCAUUUAACAGCAAGAAGCAGAGCUCGAUCGAGAGUAAACCGAGAAGCACCGUAGACUUGUUUGUCGAGGAAGACUCUAUCUCCAUCGUAUAACAUAACGUGUUUACACUGCAGAUGAAUUCGUCAGGAAACGCUUUGGACUGUUACGGCGAAAUACGUUGUGAUUUGUUGCUACGAAUCUUCGUUACGCGAAUACACCGUGGCAGCUCGAUGAGGAAUGAAUUAUGAUUUCAGUAUACGACAUCGACACUGAUAAACAUCUAUGGACGUGUUGGCUUAGGUAAACAAGUUUCAUUUUUCGUAUAUGUAAAUUUCCGUCACACGACCAUGGAAAAUGAAGCGAGUCUUCCAUGACAUAUAAUUUUCUUUUCCUUCACUGAUUUAUAAUUGCUACUGCGGAUAGCGACAAUGGAAUUGAUAUUGAGAAUAACAGAAAGAGAGAGGGAAAGGGAGAGGUUUAAUGGCCAAACUUUGUCAGUAUACGAUAUGAACAGAUAGUCAAGCCAAAAAAUAUUAUAUAAACAUAGGUCUUUUAAAGCUUUAUUGAAAACUUUAAACAAAUAUUGUAUAUUAAUAAUUUACUUGUACUUUAGGUCCAUAACCUGUUACAAGAAGGUUGUUGUAUUCUUAUUUCUAACUUCUUACACUAUAUUUAUAUUCCUACAUUGAGCUCUUUAGUUAGUAUAUUGUAUUGUUAUUGUGUUUAUAUUAUAUUUUAUUCUGUAAUGUUAUAUUAUUUAACUCAUUUUUAAUUAGUAUAUAUGACCACACAUAUAUCAUAUAUAUGUGUGUACAUAUUAUGUAGCUGUAAGAAAUAAGAAUAAAAGUACGAAUAAUUUAUCACAUACAUAUUUUUGAUAAUUUUCUACCGCGUGCUACACGCGACAAUGUAACGCUAAAUGGAGUGUACUCAUAAUUAAUUAUUUCCUAUGUCUGACCGUAAACAAUGCCAACAAAUAUCAAGUUUAAUUAGCGUUUUCAAUUUAUGCCCAUGCCGCUACACUUAUCGGUGUGUUUACGCGUACCUAGACGCUCGUAAUGACAGUGUUAUCAUGAAUCGAUAAUUAAUAUAACUGGAGCGCACAACGUCCCAUCAUGGAUUAUCAAUUUGGCUUAGUUUUUUGCACAUAACGCACACCAUAUUUCCGAUAAUGGUAAGGAAGAAAUUACUACAAAUUUCGAGUUAUCUUAAAACUUCAAAUCGACUAUUUUAUAUAACCUUUCAGUGUAGUAUAUCUAUAUGUGUAUAUGAGUACAAUAGUAUAAUGUGUAGCAGUCGUGUUUCUCUUUUAAGGAAAUUUCAAAAUGUUUUACAUAAUACACACGAUCUAUAGGAUUUACUUAAGAGUUUUGUGCUGAAAUAUAUUUCCUACUACCUAUUAAUUACGUCGAAAAAGUGUUUUGCAUAAAAGUCGAAUGGUUUCAACGGCGCCAUAUUCUGAUGUUAUUAGUUUCCCUAUCAUCUUUUUUCUUUAAUCGAAUCAUAUAUUGUUUAAUAUGUUAAUCGAUGCAGCUCAAGAUUCUCUAUAAAAAAAAAGUUAUUAACCUACUUACGUCGAAAAACUAUUAGUUCAGUAGACACUUUAACAUUUAUUUUGUAAAAGUUGUCGUAUGAAAGGCAAGGAGAACAGACAGAAAAAUAGUUUCUAUUUCCUAUUUAUAAAUUCCUCAUAUAAUUAACCAGUUAGCUGUUGUUGACGAGUAUACUCGUCAUGAAGAAAUGGCAAUAUUCUGUGUUAUGACGAAUCCCAUAAUAAGACAGUCAUUUCAUGAUAACUUAAUACUAUAUUACAACAGCCACAUAUACCCUGUGUUUGACAAGUAUACACGUUAUCUCUUACUUUUUGCGUCACAUUUUAGGUACAAAGAGAUCGCAAAAGAUAACUGGUUAAUAGUAUCAACGAUAUUUCAGCUUAGAUGGCUCUUAGGUGACUCACCCUGUAUACACGAAAGUUUUCCAUGGUAUGUGUUUGAAUACUUUCGCUAGCAUGUAUAUCUAUGUUAAUAAUUCCACUAUAAUAUCAGACUCUCUUCGUUCGAUUAACGAUAUUAUCUGAACAGUCUGAAACUGAAGCUUAACUGUGUUGCAGUGAUGAACGGUGAAUAUCUACAAUAUUUGUACCUGUAUAACACGGUUUAUUAUUAAGUGGCAUGGUUGCACGUCGAUAGCUUUGCAUUAGUUCUCCUUAUUCAGGCUAUAAAUAAUUUUCCGAUAUUGUUUCAUCCUCGCACGCGUAAGCGCCCAUAAGCCACGCCGAGCGAUAGUUAUUCUCUUCGUACACAUUAAAAAUAUCAUCUUGAGAAAGGAUCAUGCUCGUGGCUAAUGGAAAACUGCCGACAUAAUAAUAUCUAUCCUGUGGCCUCGUUGCAACACCCUUUCAAUCCGAAUGAAUAUUAAAGUCUGACAUGUUGAUAUCAAUAAUAAUAAUUAAUCGCUCUAUUUUUAAACGAAGAAUUUACCGAUAAGAACAGAAGUAUCUAUUAUGCGAAAAAAAUAAUAAUAAUGAUAAGGAAAAUAAUAUAAUCGUAAUAUUUAUAUAUAUAAUUGAUUUAUAUAUAUAUAUAAUUGAUUUGUGUUAAGUCAGUAAACACGAAAUAUCUUUUAUUAUGCUUCUUUGACACUAACCUUACCAGACUCGGUCAAAUGACCGGUUUCAAAAUUUCAUUUAAAAUUGUACGUUCAUUGUUAUCUCUGCUGUUCAUCUAACUUUAUGUAAAUUCUUAUAUUAACAAAAAUUGAGAAGUUGAUUAAUCAGAUAAUUUGACCGGUCCUAGUAAGAUGUGUUAAAGUGUCAAUUUGGCGCACCAAUGCCUGGUAAGCGACGAUAUAACGAAAUUUAAUUGGCCGCCAAAUUCGAACUUUAGAAGAACGAUGUUUCAUAUCGAUCGACCAAAUAAUUGUUAUAUCGAUAAAAAUGUUCGAAAAAUUCCUUAGGAAUAUUAUAUGCUGAUAGCAAAGGUGUAUUAAUACCAGCGAUACGAUAUUUUGAUUAAUAGAGUUACUUUAAAAAAAAGCAAAAGCAUAUUUGUUUUAAUAAAAGAAAAUUUAUAUUUUAUACGUUACGACCUAAUGAAUUUAAUAAUUGGAAAUUCAAUAGACUAACAAAUGUCUAAAACACACUAUCCAACGGUCGACGUAACAUGAUUUAUAUAGGUCUAGUGAUUUUAUGACUUUAUUCGUCAACUCAUCACUCACCAGCGGUCAAACCUUCGCUUCCCAUUGCUGGUCAGCCCACUCUGCAUUCCACUUUAACCAAAAUACAAAUUCGACAGCUCUACCAAUCACGGGAAACAAACAAGGCACACCUUCGACCACACCCGACGCAAAAUAUAAAGCAUAGUAUCAGACAGCUUUUUCGAUCAAACUCAAAGUCGAUUUAACUCGAUCAACUUUUCAAACAAGCUACAGGUACACUAUGAAUGUUUGUGUAUUUAUGGAAUAUCAAUUCAACCCUUUGAACGCCCAAGAUGUUAAAUCUGAGUUAUUUAAAAAGUGCAAAAUUUAUAUAUUUAUAUAGCUUUGUGGCGACACUCGACGACGGAAUUUUCCGACGGCUUUGCGACACAAAGCAUAAUAUCAUCAAAGCGUAAGGUCGACAUGCCUAAUGUGCCACCGAUAUCCCUACGGUCCUUCCGCCGAAUAUUCGGAAGAAUACGUACGCGGCAACGUCGCGAACGUCUAACGAACGCGUGCGUAGUGGGGAUAUCGAGGGGCAACAAAAGAAAAGAAUCUGUCCAAAGAUUCAUUCGGUUUUGAGCAGUGAAGUGCGAAGGGUCAGGUGUAACAGCGAAGCAAACGUAGUCGAGAAGCGAGAAUUGUUGAUUGUUAAAUAAAUUAUAUUGUUGAACAUCGAGAGUAUUUCUUGGGCAUCUUUGAUACAUGUAAAACGCUGUUUGCUGUUUCGUCGAAGGAGUUUUAGCGAGAACAGGUUAGUCGUUAGUCAGGGACAGAGUUCGACUAAUUUUUAACACAAUGCGACAUUGGGUUAAAGUUAAAAGAUUGAAGAUAAGCGAAACGCUUUAAUAGUUGUUCCUAAUAGAUUUAACGGGGGCGUUCCUCUAUCUUCCCUUCGAAGUACUUUUAUCUGUUUCAAUUAAUUCACCAGGUUUCACGUUCUAUUAACAAAAGCGUUUAAUUAAAAUGUUAACUACAGAACUUCAAAGUGUAAACACUUUGAAACGAGAAUUGACAUCGCAAAAGAGGAGAAAACGGAGGAUUUUAACAUGUGAAGUCUGAAUGUUCCACCUUGGUGUCGCAGUUGCGCUAGUUCCGACAGAUGGAUAUCCGUUCCGACCUAGCUAAAGUGAAUAAGCAAUUUCUGAAUGCAAGUGCUGAAUACAAGUUUCGUAGGUCCUCUUUAGCGGACCAACUACAAAAGGCCGAAACAAACACGACGAAACUGCUAUUAAUGUUUCUCUGUAUCGUGAAAACGUCCGUGAAAGUGUUUCUUUAUUUUAAGAAAUUAUUAAAAUAGUAACAUCGCUGUUUUAAAGCAACUGGCGGGAAAUUUAAAACUGCACGAAAGAAAAGAACCGAGAGUACUCUUAAAAUCGUGUUCUUUUUAAACGUUUUUCUUUGACAGGCACGCGUAUCGAUUACUGUAAUUCAAUAACGACUAAUAACGAUAUAACAGAAAAGAUUGUCCUAUAAACUCUUUUCUUAAUGUAAAAUAUCUUUAUUAUUUCGAGUAUUAAGCGAAAAUUGAAAAUAUUGAAAAUAUCGCUGUUCCGAAUAAAAAUAUUUUAUUUAUAAAUAAAAAUUUGUAGAUUUAAAAAGAACAAAACAGCGUAAAAGAAACGAAAUAGAAUAUUAUCAAAUAGUGGAUGAAGUUAUUUAAGGAGGUAAUGUAAUUUAUCUAAUAACCUAAUAUAACCAUUCACUGUGCUGAUAGAACUAUUGGAUAGCUCUAUCUAACCUAGCUAAUAAACUUAUGGCAGCUCUAUAUGAGUACUUAACGAAGUUAUCUGAACGGCUAAUUAAACUACCUAAGAAAUUAAUGCAGUUACCUGAUGAACUGAUAAGCUUACGCAGGAAGAAAUCUGAAAUUUAUGAUCGAUGACUUUGUUACUUGUCAAUUUACUAAUAUCGCGAUUUGCUAAAUUUUGAAACUAAAUUCCACGAAUCGGAAGCCAUUGUAAAAUUAUAAAAUUGUAAAAGAGGACAGGUACGAUCUGCAAUUCUUCGCUUAUCAAUUCGUUGAUAUCAUUAAUUGGUAAUUUAUCGGUCAAGAAGUCUCCGAUGGUAACACAGCGUGAUUUAAAACUCUUGCAUAGUGCCUCAUAUUUUUAUAUACUAUUUUAUUUAUUCACCUGCACGGCAUACGGUCUAUUUACAGCAAUUAUUGGCUUCUAGUUUCUGGAUUAAAUUGAGAAACUGUAAUCGAUUACUCUGCUUUAUUUCUCACUACUAAGCGAACAAACUUCUAUUUAUUCUACCGAUACGACAAGCAAACUGCGGAUAGUACGCGUGAACAUAGGGAAUAUCCAAAGCGUAGUAUUUGUUACGUCCACAAUUCAAUAGGUAAAAGAAAUUUCUACCUAGCAUUCACUUUUUACGUCAUACCCAUAAAAAUAUGAAUUCGGCAUAAAAAUGUACAGACGAUGUCUGAUUCCGGUUUGUCUUACAAGUGACUGCGAGCUAGUUAGACGCAGUGAUCCGACGAGGAAUCGCGACAAUCCUAACCGAUUUACCAGCGAAUAAUACGGUUGAACACGAGUCAACUAUCGCAUAGAGACAAUCUCAAGGGUACACUGCCCGAGGAAAUAGAGACUAUUGACCUGUGAUGAAGCAUUGGUACCUCUGGAUCGAUUACACUCCAUACAACCUCUUCGAUCAUCUUAACAACUAACUAGUGGAAAUACACACACUGGCUGACGAAAGUAUUCGAGAUUUCGCUAGCUCUGUAACGAGACGUAGCUAUCGUGUUUAUGUAAUAGUAAAAUUUGAGAUCAGUCCUGAAAAUGUACAUAUACGGGUAUACAUAGAAGUUAGAAGAUAUUUAUUGCAAACGUACACUUAGUGGAAAAUUAGUAUACACGGCGCGAAUAGUAGCCUUAAAAGUGCAAUUAAUGUUAAAGAUAGUGUCAUUACACGAUUGUGGCUCAUUAAUAUAACGAAUAAUCGACUGUUCGAGUACUUUGCUGAUCAUGUUUCUAUGCUUCUUAUAAAUAUCUUGUAACUUCCGUACGGAAUGGACCAGUUAAAUAGGAUCACCUAAAUAUCUUCAUUAUUUGUAUUAUCGUAUACAAAAUUUUCUCAGGAGAAACAUGCACCGUUUGAAGCAGCACACGUAAUAUUGGAAAUUGGUUUCCUUAGUGAUCGUUCCUUUUUACGAGAUCCGAAGAUCACUGAUAUCUUUUUGUCGAUAAGCCUAUAUUUGUGUUUGGAUAUUUUCCUAGAGCAUGGAAAAAUAAAUUCAACGACCUAUAGAACUAUGGUCCUUCCGAUCCUAUGCUUUUCGCAUAUUUGCGUCUGAAUGUAUUAAAAUUUUACGUGAUAUCUCAGGUUACGCAGCACACCGACUCUUCACGUUUAUGUCCAAACAUAAACAUCGGCUUCUAUUACAAGCGAUAAGGCACUGGAUGAUCGCAACUGCGGAAAUAUUUUCGAAUGCUAACCAAUGUUUACGUUUGAAUGUGUAUACACGAAUUAGUAUGCUGGGUGUGAAUUGAAAUGCCGCGAAAAUUUUUAACAAGUUCGAAAUUCAGAAACGAAUAUCUCAAGAUUAAAUAAUUCUAACGAUACGGUUCUAUAUAUGGUUGAAUUUUUUUUCACUCUCUACAAGAAUAUUCAAAAAUAAGUACACGGCUAUCAACGAAAAAUAUCAGUAACCCUGAAAUUUCAUAAUGAAACAAUCACUAGAAAGAAAAAUCUACUUUGAGUACUACGUUACGCUCCUUGAAGCAGUGCAAUUUUCUCCUGGGUAGUUUUCUUACACGAUAGUAAGUAGUACAGCUAUUUAGGUGAUUUCAUUUAGUUGGUCCACCCUGUAUACAUUUUCAAGUUCGUUUCAAAUUCGACUAACAUAUAGUCCUGUCUCAUUACAGUGCUAAUGAAGUUUCCAAACGUUUUAUAUAAUGCGUACAAUAUUAUUCAGCUUCUAAUUAAUUCACAACUAAAGCGGAACUGUAAAUGGAAUAACAAAAAGAGGAUUCUCAUUGAAAAUCAGUUGACAAUUUCUAAAUAUAGUCCCAGGUUGGUGUAGCCGCUUAUCUUCAAAUUGCACUUGUAACUACUUAGAGUUACAAUUUAAUGGGGUGAAUUCUACAACGAUUCUCUGUACGGCCAGGAGUUGGAUUGUUCAGGACAGUUACGCGCCUCAUUCGGCUCGGUGCCAACAGGCGUGUAAAGAGUUUCCAUAGAACGACGUUCGGCAGCAAAUUCACGGAGAUCGACCUACGACCAGGACGUUCGACACCUUCUUUUUUCACGGCCAUUUGAAACAGAGUACGUUCUUUCAAUUGGCUCCGCCCAGGAGCUUAUUCUCUGUGCGAUAUUCAAAUAUCAAACUCCUGUUUUAUGCUUCAUUUCAACGUUUUAACCACAGGUCACUUGCCACCGAAAGGAGCUUCCAUUUUUAUCUCUUUAGUACGAUUCGGUGGAAGAUUUUAGGAACAUUGGCGUUUGAAUACAUUCAGUUUGCAGUUUUCGACGUACAAAAUCUUUUCAAUUCUCAGGAGUCUCGAGACUUUCAGUAUCCCAACCCUAAUUUUUAGAACUCUCACAAAGUUCAAUUAAUCGAUCGUAUCACGAAUGUAAAUCAACUUGCUUUAUCAUUUUCUACAAAAUAGUCAAUGGCGUGAUUAAUGAAUCACGUCCACAGGGAUUGUUCACUAUUGAGAAAUUUCCUAACACUUGGAAACCCAGCACACUUUGCCGCGCGCAAGUUACAACGUUAUUACUCGGCAAAGUAAAAGCUUAUUCCUUUUUUACACUUAUUUUCAUCUUUUUAUAAUUUUGUUAUAGAGAAGCUGGAUCGAAGGACGUAAGGCCAUAGGAAACUACGUAUCGAUAUAUUCAUGGUGAUCAUGCAUCGACAGUUAUUUAUAAAUAGUUUGAUUAUUAAUAAAUAUCUUCUUCCUUUUUUUCAGUUAUUCUUUCGGUGUACGAGUUAGAACAGUACAUGUUUCCCAAUCUUUUUUCAAUCAUGCUCUACCUCAGCGCCUCGAAGAUCCUGCUGUAUCCUUUAGAAGUGGAAUCUAGGUAAAAAAUGAUCGUAUCCAGUAUUAUAUAUAUAAAUACAUAAGUACUGUACAUAUAAAGUACUACGUUACUCUGCUGUACUUUUGUAACUUAAAACGACCAGUACCAUAGGAAGUAGUAUAUGUAUUACUUUAUCAUACUUGUAGUACUGUAGUACAACGAGUACUAUACUCCAACUUCAACGAACAAUAAACUUUAAGCUUAAGCCAA